GCGAGAAAGGAGGGGCACAGUGCUUCUGCGGGUUCCCACCUGAAGACGGAGACAGAAGCUGGACUGAAUGGAGAAAUGCCUGGCAUGAGUGGUGCCGUGAGUCAGCGCAGAUCCAAGCUCUGUCCCUCUGCCCCUCUGCUCUGCUCUUUGCCAGACCACACAGCCUCCCUCCCCUCCUGCCAAGCGUGGCCAGCGUGCCGUCCAGGCCCUGGCGACAUAAUGGCCAACACAACAGUCACAUGGUCUGUUCCCAUGGCGUUUUCUUUCUAGACACAAUCAAGGCCUGAAAAGACGAUGAGAAUGCAGAUCUGGAAAUUCUGGCUGUAAAAUACCCCACAGAAAGGUGAACGAAGAAGGAACCACAAAUAAAGUCACCGCCACUGAGUGUUUACUGUGUGUUAUGGGUUGAACUGUGCCCACCCCCAAAAACCCAUGUGUUCCAGUCCUAACCCCCAGAGUGUGCCCUUAUUUGGAAAUAAGGUUGGUGCAGACACAAUUAGUUAAGCUGAGGUCAUAAGGAGCAGAGUGGGCCCCUUAUCCAAUACGACUGGUGUCCUCACGAAAAGGGAAAAUUUGAACACAGACACACUCAGGGAGAACACCGUGUGAAGAGUGGAGUCACGCUGCCCCAAACCAAGGACCUACCAGAAGCUCCGAGAGAGGCCUGGAACAGAUCCUUCUCUGGAGCUUUCAGAGGGAGCACAACCCUGACGACACCUGGAUCUUGGACUUCCGGCCUCCAGAACUGUGAGACAACAAAUUCCUGUUGUUUCAGCCUCUCAGUUCGUGGUCCUCUGUUACAGCAGCCCUGGCAAAUGCAUAUGAUAUGUAAUAGGUGCUAUGCUAACUGAUGUACAUCCACUGUCUCAUUUAACCCUCGGGACAACCCAUCAAUAGGUACCAUGGUCCAUUUUAUGGAAGAAUAAAUUAAACGAGAGGAAGGGUAAGUAACUUGUUCAAGGCUGAGCUGCUUCAAUCUAAAAGGACAGUGGUAUUCAAAGCCUCGGGCUCAGGGAAGCCCGCCCCACACCCAACCUACCCUAAUUGGGUA
Molecule: long non-coding RNA, 1051 nt
Organism: Equus quagga
Lineage: Eukaryota; Metazoa; Chordata; Mammalia; Perissodactyla; Equidae
Exons: 3
Source: RefSeq, a predicted model, not a curated record